RNAcentral lists this ribosomal RNA (1434 nucleotides) under uncultured organism. Its description in RNAcentral is "16S ribosomal RNA". It matches the Rfam family "Bacterial small subunit ribosomal RNA". The record is from RNAcentral.
GUGCUUAACACAUGCAAGUCGAACGGAAAGGCCCUGCUUUUGUGGGGUGCUCGAGUGGCGAACGGGUGAGUAACACGUGAGUAACCUGCCCUUGACUUUGUGAUAACUUCAGGAAACUGGGGCUAAUACCGGAUAGGAGCUCCUGCUGCAUGGUGGGGGUUGGAAAGUUUCGGCGGUUGGGGAUGGACUCGCGGCUUAUCAGCUUGUUGGUGGGGUAGUGGCUUACCAAGGCUUUGACGGGUAGCCGGCCUGAGAGGGUGACCGGCCACAUUGGGACUGAGAUACGGCCCAGACUCCUACGGGAGGCAGCAGUGGGGAAUAUUGCACAAUGGGCGGAAGCCUGAUGCAGCAACGCCGCGUGCGGGAUGACGGCCUUCGGGUUGUAAACCGCUUUCGCCUGUGACGAAGCGUGAGUGACGGUAAUGGGUAAAGAAGCACCGGCUAACUACGUGCCAGCAGCCGCGGUGAUACGUAGGGUGCGAGCGUUGUCCGGAUUUAUUGGGCGUAAAGGGCUCGUAGGUGGUUGAUCGCGUCGGAAGUGUAAUCUUGGGGCUUAACCCUGAGCGUGCUUUCGAUACGGGUUGACUUGAGGAAGGUAGGGGAGAAUGGAAUUCCUGGUGGAGCGGUGGAAUGCGCAGAUAUCAGGAGGAACACCAGUGGCGAAGGCGGUUCUCUGGGCCUUUCCCUGACGCUGAGGAGCGAAAGCGUGGGGAGCGAACAGGCUUAGAUACCCUGGUAGUCCACGCUGUAAACGGUGGGUACUAGGUGUGGGGUCCAUUCCACGGGUUCCGUGCCGUAGCUAACGCUUUAAGUACCCCGCCUGGGGAGUACGGCCGCAAGGCUAAAACUCAAAGGAAUUGACGGGGCCCCGCACAAGCGGCGGAGCAUGCGGAUUAAUUCGAUGCAACGCGUAGAACCUUACCUGGGUUUGACAUGGAUCGGGAGUGCUCAGAGAUGGGUGUGCCUCUUUUGGGGUCGGUUCACAGGUGGUGCAUGGCUGUCGUCAGCUCGUGUCGUGAGAUGUUGGGUUAAGUCCCGCAACGAGCGCAACCCUUGUUCACUGUUGCCAGCACGUUAUGGUGGGGACUCAGUGGAGACCGCCGGGGUCAACUCGGAGGAAGGUGGGGAUGACGUCAAGUCAUCAUGCCCCUUAUGUCCAGGGCUUCACGCAUGCUACAAUGGCUGGUACAGAGAGUGGCGAGCCUGUGAGGGUGAGCGAAUCUCGGAAAGCCGGUCUCAGUUCGGAUUGGGGUCUGCAACUCGACCUCAUGAAGUCGGAGUCGCUAGUAAUCGCAGAUCAGCAACGCUGCGGUGAAUACGUUCCCGGGGCUUGUACACACCGCCCGUCAAGUCAUGAAAGUUGGUAACACCCGAAACCGGUGGCCUAACCGUUGUGGGGGAGCCGUCGAAGGUGGGACUGGUGAUUAGGACUAA